CCAAACUUGGUCAUUUAGAGGAAGUAAAAGUCGUAACAAGGUUUCCGUAGGUGAACCUGCGGAAGGAUCAUUAUCGAAACGGGAAAGCCUAGGAGGGGAGACCCUCCGAAGCUUUCGACCUCCUCAACACCCGUGUGCACCCACUGUAGGACCUUCGGGGCCUAUGUCUCAUCUCUUCCACUCGCAUGUCUACAGAAUGUAUGCGUCGCCUCGGCGAUGGCAAAGCUCAUACAACUUUCAGCAAUGGAUCUCUUGGCUCUCGCAUCGAUAACGCAGC
Molecule: unclassified non-coding RNA, 277 nt
Filed under: uncultured fungus
Lineage: Eukaryota; Fungi
Description: partial contains small subunit ribosomal RNA, internal transcribed spacer 1, and 5.8S ribosomal RNA
Rfam family: Eukaryotic small subunit ribosomal RNA (bases 1-73)
Source: RNAcentral